RNAcentral lists this long non-coding RNA (239 nucleotides) under Elaeis guineensis (African oil palm). RNAcentral describes it as "long non-coding RNA (EGUI_LNC069348)". Lineage: Eukaryota; Viridiplantae; Streptophyta; Magnoliopsida; Arecales; Arecaceae. The record is from RNAcentral.
UGCUGGGGUUGCCCCCCUGUGGCUCCCUGAGGGACUCCGUCCGCCGGGCUUCUAGCCUGGGAAAGGAUGACCUUGAAGCCUCUAAUAAACUUAAGACUUAUCCAGCUCCUCUCCUCCCUGACCUUUUGAAGGAGCAACUUUUAUUCAAUGUCGGCCUGAGCCCUCUCAACCCUGCCGGUAUUUUUUCUUUCUCAAGUCAUUUGCUACUUUUUCUUUCUCUUAUUCUGUUUCUAAGCUAU